GCCCUUCUUCAGGGCAGGGUGCGAUUCCCGACCGGCGGUGACAACCCGCGAACCUUUCCGAGAGGCCGAUCCGGUGGAAAUCCGGAGUCGACGGUGACAGUCCGGAUGAGAGAAGAAGGGC
Molecule: non-coding RNA, 121 nt
Filed under: Actinomycetota bacterium
Lineage: Bacteria; Bacillati; Actinomycetota
Description: Actinobacteria bacterium FMN sequence
Rfam family: FMN riboswitch aptamer (RFN element)
About the family: The RFN element is a highly conserved domain that is found frequently in the 5'-untranslated regions of prokaryotic mRNAs that encode for flavin mononucleotide (FMN) biosynthesis and transport proteins. This element is a metabolite-dependent riboswitch that directly binds FMN in the absence of proteins.
Source: RNAcentral